GCUGUUAUAGCUCAACAGGCAGAGCACUCGCCUCUUAAGCGAUAGGUUCAGGGUUCGAUUCCCUGUGGCAGCA
RNAcentral lists this transfer RNA (73 nucleotides) under Butyrivibrio sp. Its description in RNAcentral is "tRNA-Lys". It matches the Rfam family "tRNA". Rfam says of the family: Transfer RNA (tRNA) molecules are approximately 80 nucleotides in length. The record is from RNAcentral. Lineage: Bacteria; Bacillati; Bacillota; Clostridia; Lachnospirales; Lachnospiraceae.